AUGUCCAAGACUGUGACGACCAAGGUGUAUCUGAAGCAAAAGUUGUAUGGGGUGAGGAUGCAGGAGGGGUCGGAUCUUGUGGAGUAUAUGAACAACUUUAAUCAAGUUGUGACGGAUCUAGCACGCUUGGGUGCGACGGUUGAUGACGAGGAUAGGGCAAUUCUGCUUCUCUGUUCAUUGCCAUCAUCCUAUAACCAUUUGAUCACUACUUUGACGCACAGCAAGGAGACCGUCAAGAAUGAGGAUAUUACUGCGGCAUUGCUAUCUUAUGAUAUGAGAAAGAAAAACGCGGUGGAAGUCUCUCAUGGUGAAGGUUUGCUAGUCAAGGAUGAGCAGUGGCAGAAGGGAUAUGAGGCUGGGAAGAACAAGAAAAAGAAAAAGAAUAUACAGUGUCACAAGUGUAAGCAGUGGGGACAUAUGAGAAAGGACUGUCCAGAACUCAAUGGCGGGGCCAGUGCUAAUAAGGCAACUCAUGGUGAUGACUCAGACAGCAGUAGUGUUGUUCUUAUAGUAUCAGACAGGCGGUCAACCAAAAGUGAAGCGUGGAUGUUGGAUUCAGCUUGCUCUUUUCAUGCGACACCCAACAGGGAGUGGUUCUCUUCGUACAAGUCUGUUGAGUUUGGUUUAGCCUAUGUGGGCGAUGACACAGGUUAUCGUGUUGCUGGAGUAGGUGACAUCAAAAUCAAGAUGUUUGACGGAGUUGAGCGGAUGCUUCGGGGAGUCAGGCAUGUGCCGGGGCUAAGGAGGAAUCUAAUUUCGCUUGGAGUUCUUCAUGAUGGUGGUAUGGUAUUCCGUUGUGAUCGGGAUAAGAAGACCAUGAGAAUCAUGGAAGAUGAGGUGACCGUGAUGAUUGGAGCGAGGACGGCUUCGCAUCUUUACAAGUUGCAAGGG
RNAcentral lists this ribosomal RNA (891 nucleotides) under Triticum aestivum (bread wheat). RNAcentral describes it as "partial small subunit ribosomal RNA". The record is from RNAcentral. Lineage: Eukaryota; Viridiplantae; Streptophyta; Magnoliopsida; Poales; Poaceae.